UAAACGUAACUGUAUAGUGAACUGAAAGUUUUGUCAAUACGGGACAAUUCAAUAGGUUUCGAUAAAAUUGAAAGUUAAUUCGAAAACUUUUUAUGAGUUUGCGUUAAAAUAGAAAUGAAGUUUUUCUUAGCGUAUUUCGUACUCUUUGACUAGUUUCGUAUUCUGUCAUUUUUAUAUUACUAUUAAAUAAAAUUGCAUGUCGUCGCAAUUAAUGUACAUAUAAUGUUACGUCGUCGUCUAGUCUUGUAAUCGGGUCUUAGUCUUGUCUUGAAGAAAAACAAUUAAGUGUCGCAAAGAUUGCGCAUCGCUGAACAAGCCACAAGAAUCACAAAUUCCAUUGAAUUCCAUGCCGGAGGCGUAUAAGCUUUGGUCAAGUGCAUUCCUCAAAAUUACUUUCUUUGCUUUUCGGACGUAUACAAUGAAAUUUUUUACAUGGGAUGGUGCCCAAGAAAAAGUCAGGACUUAAAUUACUAAACCUUUCUUCAUAAUUAAAAGCGCAAAUUAUAACAAUUACCUUACAUUUGAAGAUAAUAACACAUAAACAUCAGUUUGGCUAUCUAGUUUUCCACACAUACAUCAAUUGUAACAUAAUAUUCUCGUUUCCGAUAAUAACAAUAUGUUGAUAUAGCUUAUACCUUUAUAGGUAACACAUGUCACUUAGGGCCUGUUUCACAAUGUAUGGAUAAAGUGUCAAAUA
Pieris rapae (cabbage white) is the source of this 697-nucleotide long non-coding RNA. RefSeq lists it as uncharacterized. NCBI's taxonomy places the organism in Eukaryota, Metazoa, Arthropoda, Insecta, Lepidoptera, Pieridae. The record is from RefSeq and is a predicted model, not a curated record. The transcript has 3 exons.